UUGAUAUUGAGGCAAAGUAUGUGAAAACAUAUGACGCAAAACUAUAGGGACUGUAGAAUGUCAGCCAGUUGCAGUA
This 76-nucleotide non-coding RNA is filed under the name Roseburia sp. RNAcentral describes it as "c-di-GMP sequence". It matches the Rfam family "c-di-GMP-I riboswitch aptamer". From Rfam's summary of the family: GEMM was predicted in a large-scale screen for bacterial structured RNA regulatory elements. Lineage: Bacteria; Bacillati; Bacillota; Clostridia; Lachnospirales; Lachnospiraceae. The record is from RNAcentral.